This 89-nucleotide unclassified non-coding RNA is filed under the name Pseudomonas thivervalensis. Lineage: Bacteria; Pseudomonadati; Pseudomonadota; Gammaproteobacteria; Pseudomonadales; Pseudomonadaceae. The record is from RNAcentral.
UGUGGGAGCGAGCUUGCUCGCGAUGACGGCAGCCAAUACAACUUAGUUGUAACUGGACUACCGCCAUCGCGAGCAAGCUCGCUCCCACA